This 253-nucleotide ribosomal RNA is filed under the name uncultured prokaryote. RNAcentral's name for it is "partial 16S ribosomal RNA". It matches the Rfam family "Bacterial small subunit ribosomal RNA", at positions 525 to 777 of the family's 1533-position model. The record is from RNAcentral.
ACGGAGGGGGCUAGCGUUGUUCGGAAUCACUGGGCGUAAAGCGCACGUAGGCGGAUCUUUAAGUCAGGGGUGAAAUCCCAAGGCUCAACCUUGGAACUGCCUUUGAUACUGGAGAUCUUGAGUCCGGGAGAGGUGAGUGGAACUGCGAGUGUAGAGGUGAAAUUCGUAGAUAUUCGCAAGAACACCAGUGGCGAAGGCGGCUCACUGGCCCGGUACUGACGCUGAGGUGUGAAAGCGUGGGGAGCAAACAGGA